GAUGAACGCUGGCGGCGUGCCUAAUACAUGCAAGUCGAGCGAACGGACGAGAAGCUUGCUUCUCUGAUGUUAGCGGCGGACGGGUGAGUAACACGUGGAUAACCUACCUAUAAGACUGGGAUAACUUCGGGAAACCGGAGCUAAUACCGGAUAAUAUUUUGAACCGCAUGGUUCAAAAGUGAAAGACGGUCUUGCUGUCACUUAUAGAUGGAUCCGCGCUGCAUUAGCUAGUUGGUAAGGUAACGGCUACCAAGGCAACGAUGCAUAGCCGACCUGAGAGGGUGAUCGGCCACACUGGAACUGAGACACGGUCCAGACUCCUACGGGAGGCAGCAGUAGGGAAUCUUCCGCAAAGGGCGAAAGCCUGACGGAGCAACGCCGCGUGAGUGAUGAAGGUCUUCGGAUCGUAAAACUCUGUUAUUAGGGAAGAACAUAUGUGUAAGUAACUGUGCACAUCUUGACGGUACCUAAUCAGAAAGCCACGGCUAACUACGUG
This 496-nucleotide ribosomal RNA is filed under the name uncultured bacterium. RNAcentral describes it as "partial 16S ribosomal RNA". It matches the Rfam family "Bacterial small subunit ribosomal RNA", at positions 28 to 507 of the family's 1533-position model. The record is from RNAcentral.